GGGGAAUAUUGCACAAUGGGGGAAACCCUGAUGCAGCAACGCCGCGUGAAGGAAGACGGUUUUCGGAUUGUAAACUUCUAUCGAUAGGGACGAAAAAAAUGACGGUACCUAAAUAAGAAGCCCCGGCUAACUACGUGCCAGCAGCCGCGGUAAUACGUAGGGGGCAAGCGUUAUCCGGAAUUACUGGGUGUAAAGGGUGAGUAGGCGGCAUGGUAAGUUAGAUGUGAAAGCCCGAGGCUUAACCUCGGGAUUGCAUUUAAAACUAUCAAGCUAGAGUACAGGAGAGGAAAGCGGAAUUCCUAGUGUAGCGGUGAAAUGCGUAGAUAUUAGGAAGAACACCAGUGGCGAAGGCGGCUUUCUGGACUGAAACUGACGCUGAGGCACGAAAGCGUGGGGAGCGAAC
RNAcentral lists this ribosomal RNA (403 nucleotides) under uncultured bacterium. RNAcentral's name for it is "bacterial SSU rRNA". It matches the Rfam family "Bacterial small subunit ribosomal RNA", at positions 356 to 773 of the family's 1533-position model. The record is from RNAcentral.